Aspergillus taichungensis is the source of this 104-nucleotide non-coding RNA. The record is from the annotation of a GenBank genome assembly. NCBI's taxonomy places the organism in Eukaryota, Fungi, Ascomycota, Eurotiomycetes, Eurotiales, Aspergillaceae.
GCCUCUAUGGCGCAAUCGGUAGCGCGCUUGACUUCUACAAUGCCAUCCAUAGGGUAAAAGAAGUUGCUAUCAAGAGGCUCUGGGUUCGACCCCCAGUAGAGGCU